GCAUCGCCGCGUGAGUGAUGAAGGUUUUCGGAUCGUAAAGCUCUGUUGUUAGGGAAGAACAAGUGCCGUUCAAAUAGGGCGGCACCUUGACGGUACCUAACCAGAAAGCCACGGCUAACUACGUGCCAGCAGCCGCGGUAAUACGUAGGUGGCAAGCGUUGUCCGGAAUUAUUGGGCGUAAAGGGCUCGCAGGCGGUUUCUUAAGUCUGAUGUGAAAGCCCCCGGCUCAACCGGGGAGGGUCAUUGGAAACUGGGGAACUUGAGUGCAGAAGAGGAGAGUGGAAUUCCACGUGUAGCGGUGAAAUGCGUAGAGAUGUGGAGGAACACCAGUGGCGAAGGCGACUCUCUGGUCUGUAACUGACGCUGAGGAGCGAAAGCGUGGGGAGCGAACAGGAUUAGAUACCCUGGUAGUCCACGCCGUAAACGAUGAGUGCUAAGUGUUAGGGGGUUUCCGCCCCUUAGUGCUGCAGCUAACGCAUUAAGCACUCCGCCUGGGGAGUACGGUCGCAAGACUGAAACUCAAAGGAAUUGACGGGGGCCCGCACAAGCGGUGGAGCAUGUGGUUUAAUUCGAAGCAACGCGAAGAACCUUACCAGGUCUUGACAUCCUCUGACAAUCCUAGAGAUAGGACGUCCCCUUCGGGGCAGAGUGACAGGUGCUGCAUGGU
This 667-nucleotide ribosomal RNA is filed under the name Bacillus amyloliquefaciens. RNAcentral describes it as "bacterial SSU rRNA". It matches the Rfam family "Bacterial small subunit ribosomal RNA", at positions 391 to 1049 of the family's 1533-position model. The record is from RNAcentral. Lineage: Bacteria; Bacillati; Bacillota; Bacilli; Caryophanales; Bacillaceae.